Molecule: ribosomal RNA, 446 nt
Filed under: uncultured bacterium
Lineage: Bacteria
Description: bacterial SSU rRNA
Rfam family: Bacterial small subunit ribosomal RNA
Source: RNAcentral
GCCAGACUCCUACGGGAGGCAGCAGUGGGGGAUAUUGCACAAUGGGGGAAACCCUGAUGCAGCGACGCCGCGUGAGUGAAGAAGUAUUUCGGUAUGUAAAGCUCUAUCAGCAGGGAAGAAAAAAGACGGUACCUGACUAAGAAGCCCCGGCUAACUACGUGCCAGCAGCCGCGGUAAUACGUAGGGGGCAAGCGUUAUCCGGAUUUACUGGGUGUAAAGGGAGCGUAGACGGCAAUACAAGUCGGAAGUGAAAUACCCGGGCUCAACCUGGGAACUGCUUUGGAAACUGUAUGGCUGGAGUGCUGGAGAGGUAAGCGGAAUUCCUAGUAUAGCGGUGAAAUGCGUAGAUAUUAGGAGGAACACCAGUGGCGAAGGCGGCUUACUGGACAGUAACUGACGUUGAGGCUCGAAAGCGUGGGGAGCAAACAGGAUUAGAUACCCUGGUA